GGUGAGGCCUUCGGACUGGCCCAGGGAGGUCGGCAACGACCACCCAGGGCCGGAAAGUUGGUCAAACCCGGUCAUUUAGAGGAAGUAAAAGUCGUAACAAGGUCUCCGUAGGUGAACCUGCGGAGGGAUCAUU
This 133-nucleotide ribosomal RNA is filed under the name Sphaerulina polyspora. RNAcentral's name for it is "partial 18S ribosomal RNA". It matches the Rfam family "Eukaryotic small subunit ribosomal RNA", at positions 1700 to 1830 of the family's 1831-position model. Lineage: Eukaryota; Fungi; Ascomycota; Dothideomycetes; Mycosphaerellales; Mycosphaerellaceae. The record is from RNAcentral. RNAcentral also lists the same sequence under 2 other names.